Molecule: ribosomal RNA, 1401 nt
Filed under: uncultured bacterium
Lineage: Bacteria
Description: partial 16S ribosomal RNA
Rfam family: Bacterial small subunit ribosomal RNA
Source: RNAcentral
UUAGAGUUUGAUCCUGGCUCAGGAUGAACGCUAGCGGCAGGCUUAACACAUGCAAGUCGAGGGGCAGCAUGUCCAGCAAUGGAUGAUGGCGACCGGCGGAAGGGUGCGUAACGCGUGAGCAUCAUGCCCUAUACAGGGAGAUACACCAGGGAAACUUGGUCUAAUACCCCAUAGCAUUCAUUGAAGGCAUCUUUAAUGAAUUAAAGCUUCGGUGGUAUAGGAUUGGCUCGCGUGACAUUAGCCAGAUGGUGAGGUAACGGCUCACCAUAGCAAUGAUGUCUAGGGGUUUUGAGAGGAAGGCCCCCCACACUGGGACUGAGACACGGCCCAGACUCCUACGGGAGGCAGCAGUGAGGAAUAUUGGACAAUGGAUGGAAAUCUGAUCCAGCCAUGCCGCGUGCAGGAAGACGGCCUUAUGGGUUGUAAACUGCUUUUAUACGGGAGCAAUAAGGGUUACGAGUAAUCCGAUGAGAGUACUGUAUGAAUAAGGAUCGGCUAACUCCGUGCCAGCAGCCGCGGUAAUACGGAGGAUCCGAGCGUUAUCCGGAAUUAUUGGGUUUAAAGGGUGCGUAGGCGGCCAUUUAAGUCAGCGGUGAAAUUUUGCAGCUUAACUGUAACAGUGCCGUUGAUACUGUUUGGCUAGGAUUUGGUUGUAGUGUGCGGAAUGUGUGGUGUAGCGGUGAAGUGCUUAGAUAUCACACAGAACACCGAUUGCGAAGGCAGCACACUAAGUCAUUAUUGACGCUGAGGCACGAAAGUGUGGGGAUCAAAAAGGAUUAGAUACCCUGGUAGUCCACACUGUAAACGAUGAUAACUCGCUGUCGGCGAUACACAGUCGGUGGCCAAGCGAAAGCAUUAAGUUAUCCACCUGGGGAGUACGACCGCAAGGUUGAAACUCAAAGGAAUUGACGGGGGCCCGCACAAGCGGUGGAGCAUGUGGUUUAAUUCGAGGCAACGCGAAGAACCUUACCCGGUCUCGACAUCUGUGGAAUUCUUCAGAGAUGAGGGAGUGCCGGUUUACCGGAGCCACAAGACAGGUGCUGCAUGGCUGUCGUCAGCUCGUGUCGUGAGAUGUUGGGUUAAGUCCCGCAACGAGCGCAACCCCUGCUUUCAGUUACCAUCAUUAAGUUGAGGACUCUGGAAGGACCGCUGCGGUAACAACGCAGAGGAAGAUGGGGACGAUGUCAGGUCAUCAUGGUCCUUAUGACCGGGGCUACACACGUGCUACAAUGGCAAUUACAGAGGGAAGCGAAGUCGCAAGGCGGAGCGAAUCUCAUAAAAAUUGCCUCAGUUCGGAUUGAGGUCUGCAACUCGACCUCAUGAAGCUGGAAUCGCUAGUAAUCGCGCAACAUCAUGGCGCGGUGAAUACGUUCCCGGGCCUUGUACACACCGCCCGUCAAG